RNAcentral lists this ribosomal RNA (700 nucleotides) under uncultured bacterium. Its description in RNAcentral is "bacterial SSU rRNA". It matches the Rfam family "Bacterial small subunit ribosomal RNA", at positions 55 to 751 of the family's 1533-position model. The record is from RNAcentral.
AUGCAGUCGAACGGCAGCACGGGGCAACCUGGUGGCGAGUGGCGAACGGGUGAGUAAUAUAUCGGAAUGUACCCUAGAGUGGGGGAUAACGUAGCGAAAGUUACGCUAAUACCGCAUACGAUCUGAGGAUGAAAGUGGGGGAUUCGCAAGAACCUCAUGCUCAUGGAGCAGCCGAUAUCUGAUUAGCUAGUUGGUAGGGUAAAAGCCUACCAAGGCAACGAUCAGUAGCUGGUUUGAGAGAACGACCAGCCACACUGGAACUGAGACACGGUCCAGACUCCUACGGGAGGCAGCAGUGGGGAAUUUUGGACAAUGGGCGAAAGCCUGAUCCAGCAAUGCCGCGUGAGUGAAGAAGGCCUUCGGGUUGUAAAGCUCUUUUGUCAGGGAAGAAACGGUAGCCUCUAAUACAGGUUACUAAUGACGGUACCUGAAGAAUAAGCACCGGCUAACUACGUGCCAGCAGCCGCGGUAAUACGUAGGGUGCAAGCGUUAAUCGGAAUUACUGGGCGUAAAGCGUGCGCAGGCGGUUAUAUAAGUCAGAUGUGAAAUCCCUGGGCUCAACCUAGGAACUGCAUUUGAGACUGUAUGGCUAGAGUGUGUCAGAGGGGGGUAGAAUUCCACGUGUAGCAGUGAAAUGCGUAGAUAUGUGGAGGAAUACCGAUGGCGAAGGCAGCCCCCUGGGAUAACACUGACGCUCAUG